GGUACGGUUUCACUCAUCACCCUGUGACUUACCUAAACGUUGCUUCGGCGGGAAUAGACGGCCCUGUAAAACGGGCCGCCCCCGCCAGAGGACUCUUAACUCUGUUUCUUAUAAUGUUUCUUCUGAGUAAAACAAGCAAAUAAAUUAAAACUUUCAACAACGGAUCUCUUGGCUCUGGCAUCGAUGAAGAACGCAGCGAAAUGCGAUAAGUAAUGUGAAUUGCAGAAUUCAGUGAAUCAUCGAAUCUUUGAACGCACAUUGCGCCCGCCAGUAUUCUGGCGGGCAUGCCUGUUCGAGCGUCAUUACAACCCUCAGGCCCCCGGGCCUGGCGUUGGGGAUCGGCGGAGCGCCCCUCGUGGGCGCACGCCGUCCCCCAAAUACAGUGGCGGUCCCGCCGCAGCUUCCAUCGCGUAGUAGCUAACACCUCGCGACUGGAGAGCGGCGCGGCCACGCCGUAAAACACCCCAACUCUUCUGAAGUUGACCUCGAAUCAGGUAGGAAUACCCGCUGAACUUAAGCAUAUCAAUAGACCGGAGGAAAAAGAAACCAACAGGGAUUGCCCCAGUAACGGCGAGUGAAGCGGCAACAGCUCAAAUUUGAAAUCUGGCUCUCGGGCCCGAGUUGUAAUUUGUAGAGGAUGCUUUUGGUGAGGUGCCUUCCGAGUUCCCUGGAACGGGACGCCAUAGAGGGUGAGAGCCCCGUCUGGUUGGACGCCGAACCUCUGUAAAGCUCCUUCGACGAGUCGAGUAGUUUGGGAAUGCUGCUCUAAAUGGGAGGUAUAUGUCUUCUAAAGCUAAAUACCGGCCAGAGACCGAUAGCGCACAAGUAGAGUGAUCGAAAGAUGAAAAGAACUUUGAAAAGAGAGUUAAACAGUACGUGAAAUUGUUGAAAGGGAAGCGCUUGUGACCAGACUUGGGCUUGGUUGAUCAUCCGGGGUUCUCCCCGGUGCACUCUUCCGGCCCAGGCCAGCAUCAGUUCGCCCUGGGGGACAAAGGCUU
RNAcentral lists this ribosomal RNA (998 nucleotides) under Fusarium solani. Its description in RNAcentral is "eukaryotic LSU rRNA". The stretch from base 481 to 998 matches the Rfam family "Eukaryotic large subunit ribosomal RNA", at positions 1 to 528 of the family's 3401-position model. The record is from RNAcentral. Lineage: Eukaryota; Fungi; Ascomycota; Sordariomycetes; Hypocreales; Nectriaceae.